This 1296-nucleotide long non-coding RNA is filed under the name Lactuca sativa (garden lettuce). Its description in RNAcentral is "long non-coding RNA (LSAT_LNC005296)". The record is from RNAcentral. Lineage: Eukaryota; Viridiplantae; Streptophyta; Magnoliopsida; Asterales; Asteraceae.
UUUUGUGCUACUAGUUACACGUAUACUAUAUUCUUAUACCUCUCUUCUCGCGUAGAUCUAAAUGGCUGGAUUCCAUCAUGGCGACCCGUACUUUCCCAAUGAAGGCAAUGCCGGGUGGAUCGAUGAAGAGCCCGAAGAUGAGCAUCCAAUCCCUUUGGAUGAUCACCUCGCAGAAGGCUUUUCGGAUGGAUCUGACUCCGAGCCUGAAGUCAACAACCUACCGCUUGUAGGUCAAGCCCCGAACAACAACCCUCGACCAGCGUUUCCAGGUCCUACUCCCAUGUGGGCAAACAAUCUGAAUCGCUGGAGUGAUGAGCAGGGUCAGCCCUUACCAUACUUUGGGGACCGAACCUUUUACAACAUCAGCGAUGGUGGCUCUGCUGACAGAGCUCUGCCGGUGAUCAUCCGCAGAAUAGCUCGUAAUGUCGAGCAAGGUCGAGCAGCCAUCGACCGGGUCAUGGAGAUUGAUGCCAAUUCAGGUGUCAAUACAGUCCGCAUUCGCCGUCUCGAAGAAGACAUGGAACGGACCCGGAGAACCAACGAAACUCUGCAGCAACAGCUGGCUGCCUCCCGUGCUGAAGUCUUAGAACUUCGAGCUCGUCAGAGAGCUCAGGACCGACACCUUCAAGAGGUGUUUCGCCAAGUGUCCGACCUCAGGGAUCGCCCGAGGAAUUCCCAUCGCCAUUAGAUGAUGUCUAGUACAUCUCUGUCUUUUGAUUUAGGGAUAGCCUUGAACUUAUGUGCUCUAAGUGGCACUUGUCUGUAAAAUAUUCCUAACUUUCGGUACUUUAAUUAGGAAUCUAGGACUGCCAGUAUUGUCCUUAUGGUAUGAUGUAAGACCUACGGAUAGGUCGAUUUUUCCUUGAACUUGUUACAUCAGUAAUACCUGUGCUAUUGAAAUCUAUUAUGUGGGAAAAAUUUAUACACUUGUGUAUUCCUACUAAUAUUUNCAAAUGGCUGGAUUUCAUCAUGGUGACCCGUACUUCCCCAAAUGAAGGCAAUGUCGGGUGGAUCGAUGAAGAGCCUGAAGAUGAGCAUCCAAUCCCUUUGGAUGAUCACCUCGCAGAAGGCUUUUCAGAUGGAUCUGACUCCGAGCCUGAAGUCAACAACCUACCGCUUAUAGGUCAAGCCCUGAACGACAACCCUCGACCAGCGUUUCCAGGCCCUACUCCCAUGUGGGCAAACAAUCUGAAUCGCUGGAGUGAUGAGCAGGGUCAGCCCUUACCAUACUUUGGGGACCGAACCUUCUACAACAUCAGCGAUGGUGGCUCUGCUGACAGAGCUCUGCCGGUNNNN